GGCAGACGGGUGAGUAACGCGUGGCAAUCUACCUUUUGGUACGGAAUAGCUCCGGGAAACUGGAAUUAAUACCGUAUGUGCACUUUGGGCGAAAGAUUUAUCGCCAAGAGAUGAGCCCGCGUUUGAUUAGCUAGUUGGUGGGGUAAUGGCCUACCAAGGCGACGAUCAAUAGCUGGUCUGAGAGGAUGAUCAGCCACAUUCGGUCUGAGACACGGCCCAAACUCCUACGGGAGCCAGCAGUGGGGAAUAUUGGACAAUGGGCGCAAGCCUGAUCCAGCCAUGCCGCGUGAGUGAUGAAGGCCCUAGGGUUGUAAAGCUCUUUCGCCGGUGAAGAUAAUGACAGUAGCCGGUAAAGAAGCCCCGGCUAACUUCGUGCCAACAGCCGCGGUAAUACGAAGGGGGCUAGCGUUGUUCGGAAUUACUCGGCGUAAAGCGCACGUAGGCGGACAUUUAAGUCAGGGGCGAAAUCCCGGAGCUCAACUCCGGAACUGCCUUUGAUACUGGGUGUCUUGAGUUUGGUAGAGGUAAGUGGAAUUGCGAGUGUACAGGUGAAAUUCGUAGAUAUUCGCAGGAACACCAGUGGCGAAGGCGGCUUA
RNAcentral lists this ribosomal RNA (596 nucleotides) under uncultured bacterium. Its description in RNAcentral is "bacterial SSU rRNA". It matches the Rfam family "Bacterial small subunit ribosomal RNA", at positions 97 to 728 of the family's 1533-position model. The record is from RNAcentral.